GAUGAACGCUGGCGGCGUGCCUAAUACAUGCCAGUCGAGCGAACGGACGAGAAGCUUGCUUCUCUGAUGUUAGCGGCGGACGGGUGAGUAACAUGUGGAUAACCUACCUAUAAGACUGGGAUAACUUCGGGAAACCGGAGCUAAUACCGGAUGAUAUUUUGAACCGCAUGGUUCAAAAGUGAAAGACGGUCUUGCUGUCACUUAUAGAUGGAUCCGCGCUGCAUUAGCUAGUUGGUAAGGUAACGGCUUACCAAGGCAACGAUGCAUAGCCGACCUGAGAGGGUGAUCGGCCACACUGGAACUGAGACACGGUCCAGACUCCUACGGGAGGCAGCAGUAGGGAAUCUUCCGCAAUGGGCGAAAGCCUGACGGAGCAACGCCGCGUGAGUGAUGAAGGUCUUCGGAUCGUAAAACUCUGUUAUUAGGGAAGAACAUAUGUGUAAGUAACUGUGCACAUCUUGACGGUACCUAAUCAGAAAGCCACGGCUAACUACGUG
This 497-nucleotide ribosomal RNA is filed under the name uncultured bacterium. Its description in RNAcentral is "partial 16S ribosomal RNA". It matches the Rfam family "Bacterial small subunit ribosomal RNA", at positions 28 to 507 of the family's 1533-position model. The record is from RNAcentral.